This 543-nucleotide ribosomal RNA is filed under the name Amylostereum areolatum. RNAcentral's name for it is "SSU rRNA". It matches the Rfam family "Bacterial small subunit ribosomal RNA", at positions 366 to 946 of the family's 1533-position model. The record is from RNAcentral. Lineage: Eukaryota; Fungi; Basidiomycota; Agaricomycetes; Russulales; Stereaceae.
AGUCAAUGCUCGUAAGAGUGAACUAGCUAACUGAAAUCAAUCUACAUAUAAAUAUUGAUUGAUAACGUAAGGGAAAAUAAUGAUAUUACCUUACUAUUAGUGUCGUCCAAAUCUGGUGCCAGAAGACUCGGUAAGGCCAGAGACGCAAACGUUAAUCGUCUUAAACAGGCGUAAAGGGUUUGUAGGCUGCUUUAAAUUUUCUUUGUGAAGAUAGCCCAACAGAUAAUUAAUUAAAGCUAGAAUCAAAUAGAGGUUAUAUUAUAUAAUGCUUAAAGUAGGUCUAAUAUCCUAACAUAUUAAGUGGAAUAUUAAAAGCGAAGGCUUAUUUUCCAUAAAUGAUUGACGCUGAGAAACGAAGGUGAGGAUAGGAAAUAGGAUUAGAUACCCAAAAUACCCCUCUCUGUCAACGAUGAAUGGUGGUUGCUAAUUAUAGAAUUAGUAGCUAUGUUAACACGAUAACCAUUCCGCCUUGUGAGUACGACUGCAAAGUUGAAAACAAAAAAAUUAGUCGGUUUCGGAGCAAACGAAGUGAAGCAUGUUAUU